This is a long non-coding RNA of Brachypodium distachyon (stiff brome), 538 nucleotides long. RefSeq lists it as uncharacterized. The record is from RefSeq and is a predicted model, not a curated record. The transcript has 2 exons. NCBI's taxonomy places the organism in Eukaryota, Viridiplantae, Streptophyta, Magnoliopsida, Poales, Poaceae.
UAGGAAAUAAAGUUCCCUUUCGGCCCUGCCUUUUGUUUUCCCCAACUCCCCUGCCGACCGUCGCUAGGGUUCCAGCCGCCGCGGCUGCCGUUUGGGCUCUGCCGCGACUCACGAUGGUUUUCCGUUGUCUCUCAGCACUGCUGUAGGUUCGGGAGCUCCGGGCGUUGGGCAUCAAUCUUCAGUUUGAUCGUCAGCCUAUUUCGGGUUUUAAGGCAAGUGCAGAUGGAGUUUUCUUUUUUGUGGUUGACUGCACAUGUUCCAUGCUAUUUUUUUCCCUGUGUUUGUUGUCCAACUCAGAGUAUAUGCACAAGGCAUAGGUUGACUAAUCCGGCACGGACCAGAGUGAGAAAUGUCAAAUAUGUCUAGUCCGGUGAGGAAAGGACACGGGAUGUGUCUAAUCCGGAAAGCAAUGUGUUCAGCUAUGCAUUUGUGUUAAUUCAGAUUUAUGUCAGAAUUCAUCUUAAGAAAAUGUUUGAUGUUCAGUUUACACCAUGUAUUUGGCUGAGUAUUUUACUCAUACUUGUUUCUUCUUGUUGAA